RNAcentral lists this ribosomal RNA (395 nucleotides) under uncultured bacterium. Its description in RNAcentral is "bacterial SSU rRNA". It matches the Rfam family "Bacterial small subunit ribosomal RNA", at positions 108 to 518 of the family's 1533-position model. The record is from RNAcentral.
GAGGAACACGUGGAGAACCUGCCCUUCACAGGGGGAUAACAGUUGGAAACGACUGUUAAUACCGCAUAUGCUCACAGUGCCGCAUGGCACAGGGAGGAAAGCCGAGACGGUGAAGGAUGGCUCCGCGCCGGAUUAGCCAGUUGGCGGGUAACGGCCCACCAAAGCGAUGAUCCGUAGCCGGCCUGACGAGGGCGACCGGCCACAUUGGGACUGAGACACGGCCCAAACUCCUACGGGAGGCAGCAGUGGGGGAUAUUGCACAAUGGGGGGAACCCUGAUGCAGCCGACGCCGCGUGAAGGAGGAAGUGCUUCGGCAUUGUAAACUUCUAUCAGCAGGGAAGUAAGAUGACGGUACCUGCACAAGAAGCCCCGGCUAACUACGUGCCAGCAGCCGC